UAUUAGAUCCAUGUAUAAUGUAACUUAUGCUAUUGUUUCUUCUGGCUACCCACUUAUUAAUAUUAAGUAACUUUAUUUUUAAAAAUAAUAAUAAUAUCAUAAUCGUCCAUAACAUUUAGGACACAUCUAAAUAUAUAUUGUUGUCUUCAUUGAAUAAUAAUAACUAGGUAAUAAUCCGCGCCAUGCGCGGAAUGAAUGGACAAAAAAAAUUAUAACUUUUAAUCUAUUGAUAUUGGAAGUGAAUCUAUAUGAGUAAGUAAAUACUUAUAUAAAAUUAGUUAUUCUUCUCACGUAAAAAUGAAACAUUGGCAAAAGAAUUUGCUUUCAUAGUAUAAAUUAUGAAUAUAAGAUAAAACGAACCAUAGCCAAUAAAUUAAUAAAAUAUGAAAAAAAACAAAUUGUAAGGAAAAUAAAUAAAUAAAAAACUAAAAAAACCACAACUCCUAUGAAAAGUGUCUUUAGAAUUCUUUUUUUCAAUUCUAUUAAGAAAUAUGUAAUGAAGGUUUGGAAAGAAGAUUGUAAUUAUGUGCUCAAAUACCACCUAUACACGAUAAGGAGGGAUUAGAGUUCAAAUCAUCAAAUCAUAUCUGAUUAAUUAUAUAAAAUAAUCACGAAACAAUUUACCAAAAUUUGUGCUCCAAAUUUCCUUAACACACCAUAUACCCUAUUGAUCGCACAAUUUUCUGUAAAUAAAAAGAUUGCGUCCUUCAACUUACCUUAUAUAGAGCCACAGCUCACGCAAAUUCAGCAAUGGAAUAGAUCAAUAAUUUAAAUUACUUAUAGUUAUUGUAUUGUCAAAAUUGAAUCGAGCACAACUAUUUUAACAACAAAUUUGCGUGAUCCGUGUCUCUAUUUAAGACACUUUAUUAAUGAUUUUCUAUUUGUUGCAAAGAAAACAGAUAUAGUAUAAUCUCAUCAAAUUUUUAUAAGAGUUUAUUUACAGCUUAACCG
RNAcentral lists this long non-coding RNA (951 nucleotides) under Brassica rapa (field mustard). Its description in RNAcentral is "long non-coding RNA (BRAP_LNC003698)". Lineage: Eukaryota; Viridiplantae; Streptophyta; Magnoliopsida; Brassicales; Brassicaceae. The record is from RNAcentral.